UGGGGAAUAUUGCACAAUGGAGGGAACUCUGAUGCAGCGACGCCGCGUGAUUUAGAAGGCCUUCGGGUUGUAAAAAUCUUUUCUAUGGGAAGAAAAUGACAGUACCAUAGGAAUAAGGACCGGCUAAUUACGUGCCAGCAGCCGCGGUAAUACGUAAGGUCCGAGCGUUGUCCGGAAUCAUUGGGCGUAAAGGGUACGUAGGCGGGUAAGCAAGUUAGAAGUGAAAUCCUGUAGCUCAACUACAGUAAGCUUUUAAAACUGCUCAUCUUGAGAUAUGGAAGGGAAAGUGGAAUUCCUAGUGUGGCGGUGAAAUGCGCAGAUAUUAGGAGGAAUACCGGUGGCGAAGGCGACUUUCUGGCCAUAAUCUGACGCUGAGGUACGAAAGCGUGGGUAGCAAACAGG
This 402-nucleotide ribosomal RNA is filed under the name Verrucomicrobiota bacterium. RNAcentral's name for it is "Verrucomicrobia bacterium partial 16S ribosomal RNA". It matches the Rfam family "Bacterial small subunit ribosomal RNA", at positions 355 to 776 of the family's 1533-position model. Lineage: Bacteria; Pseudomonadati; Verrucomicrobiota. The record is from RNAcentral.